GAUGAACGCUUUCUUCUUUCUUAACACAUGCAAGUCGAACGAUGAAGCCCAGCUUGCUGGGUGGAUUAGUGGCGAACGGGUGAGUAACACGUGAGUAACCUGCCCUUAACUCUGGGAUAAGCCUGGGAAACUGGGUCUAAUACCGGAUAGGAGCGUCCACCGCAUGGUGGGUGUUGGAAAGAUUUAUCGGUUUUGGAUGGACUCGCGGCCUAUCAGCUUGUUGGUGAGGUAAUGGCUCACCAAGGCGACGACGGGUAGCCGGCCUGAGAGGGUGACCGGCCACACUGGGACUGAGACACGGCCCAGACUCCUACGGGAGGCAGCAGUGGGGAAUAUUGCACAAUGGGCGCAAGCCUGAUGCAGCGACGCCGCGUGAGGGAUGACGGCCUUCGGGUUGUAAACCUCUUUCAGUAGGGAAGAAGCGAAAGUGACGGUACCUGCAGAAGAAGCACCGGCUAACUACGUG
This 466-nucleotide ribosomal RNA is filed under the name uncultured bacterium. RNAcentral describes it as "partial 16S ribosomal RNA". It matches the Rfam family "Bacterial small subunit ribosomal RNA", at positions 28 to 507 of the family's 1533-position model. The record is from RNAcentral.